UACUACGGAGGGGUUGGGAUGGAAGAGUCAUCGCUACAUUUAUCUACGAUCCGUGAGUGUGAUAUCUCAUCUGACUCGAUUUCCUUUUGUUUUCUCAGUUAUCAUCGUCACUAUUGUGACUUGUGAGUGGGUAAAUACAGAUCAUCAAGGCAUCAUAUAAGACAACCUUCUUUGGUCAUACCUGAAUAUUAUCUUUUUCCAAGCCCGUUUUUCUUGUCAUCCCAGUGGGAAGAUUCUAGAUCCAUCAAUUAACAAAGUCCUGAGUACUUUAUAAACUGUACAACUUGCAUACGUGAUAAGCCAAGACUAAACUAAUAACAUGGACGGCAUGUCCGGCGUGUUCUCAUGGAAUCUAGAGGAGGUAGGUAACCAGAUCACAUCGCAAGCUAAUUAGCAUAAUAAAGAUAGUAGACCUGUAAGCAGGUCCUGAUGAAUACUCGGUGCCACUAAGCAGCCUAGCAGCUUAGCAGUUGGCAUUCAGUACCAAUAAGCAUCCCUUGCAAGUUAGUGGCCACAUCGGAACAGGGUGGCCACAUCACAAUACUAUUAUUUGGCGGCCGCAAGGUGCCCCCGAACUGUUGAUGAGAUGCAAGAAAGUAGGGACUGCUCUUUGACUUCCAACCAUUCCUCUGGAUCUGCAUCCAUUGGUUUCCAACGCUGUGUAACACUCGGCUUCUGUAUCGGUUCUCCUCCGUAACUGCUGAGCUUUCGUGAUCGGUGUGAUAAUCCUGUCUAUUUGUUAGACUGCGUAGCAAAGAGGUUCGAUUGGGAUGGAACAAUACGUAUGAAUAUACCCCGCUCUCCUUCAGCACUCUAAUCAACAUACCUUAUUCAGUGAGGCUUUCUUUUGUUGACUGGCUGUUACCUAUUCUGUGCACCAGCCUAUUCCAGCAGUUACUUUUGACCCCCUGGGCUAGGUCCAUCGUGAUUUUAAAGUGGCAAUGGGUUAAUCAGGAUCUAAGUGGCGAAGGGUUGAUCAAUGGAGCAACCUGCUUCUGCCAGAUGAUUGCUAUUGACUCUUGUCAUCCAAUGUUUAUUUCGUUUUGAAAGAUU
Lolium rigidum is the source of this 1053-nucleotide long non-coding RNA. RefSeq lists it as uncharacterized. The record is from RefSeq and is a predicted model, not a curated record. Lineage: Eukaryota; Viridiplantae; Streptophyta; Magnoliopsida; Poales; Poaceae. The transcript is spliced from 3 exons.